Molecule: long non-coding RNA, 789 nt
Organism: Gavialis gangeticus (Gharial)
Lineage: Eukaryota; Metazoa; Chordata; Crocodylia; Gavialidae
Exons: 3
Source: RefSeq, a predicted model, not a curated record
AAGAGAUCCAAUAUUUACUUCAAUAUCUCAGUUUUACUGAAUGGCAAAUACUUCUGCAAACUGCUAGCUCUGUGCCCUUAUUCUCAAAACAGACAAAUGAGCUUUAUCAUGUCAAAUCCCCUGUGGUAUUCCAUAUGAAUGACACCGGCCCCCAGCUCCAGCAGCAGUGGCUCCCCAUGAGGCAGACUCCUGCAGACAGAAAUUUGCUCAAGGGGGUCGGUCAGCUCAAGGCUUCCAAAUUCCUGUAUUACUUGACACCUGGCAUGGGCAUAACACUUUGUUUGAUCAAAGGACAAUGUACUCCAAACACAUCUUUAAACUUCCUUUUGGCUUCAGUGAGGCUUCUCCAACAUCUCUCUCUAAACCAAUGCCUGAAGCAUUUGAAAAAGAAUGUGCCUGGAUGCUGAGGUGUUCCUGCAAGGGCUUGAGCUGAGCUGUGCUGGAGAUGUGCACAAAGCCUGGGCUUGUUUUAUGUUUCCCCAUGUUCACAUUCAUCUGAGGGAGGCUGAAUUUGGGGCAGCUUUUAUAGUAAACCACAGUUCUCCAUAUACAAACAAUGUUUAAGAAUACAGGUUUCAAGUGGCCACAACAGUAAACCACAAUCUCUUGCUCACAGGGAUUUUACCUGGCAAAAGAGGUUUGAUUUUAAUCGUACUGAGGGAGUUCAUAGACUUCAUCAGAACCACUGGCAAAUACCCAAAAUUUACAUCCUCUGAAAUUCUUGAAGGUAAGCACGCCCUGCCCAGAACACAGAUAUUGUACAGUGAGAAAAGGAAGUUGCUAUCAUUU